GUCAUAUUUCUCUGAGCUCCCAAAGAGGUCCCGACACUAAAUUAUUUUAUGAAGUGAACUAUUAGUUAAUAUCUGUUAAAUCAGCUCUCAGCUUGAAAUAUGAAGAAAAGCAACAAGUUUAUGCCACCUGCAGUCAAGACUCUGCAUACUAAAAGCUCUGAAAGUGAUCACGACUAUUCUGUGCCUAUGGAGUCAGCAACAGUUAGCAAACGGGAAAGGGAAGCCAAUACCCCGACCAGCACUCCAGAAAAAAACAUACACAUGGAGAAAAGAACAAAAGAAUGGAUCAGCUGCUGAGGACGAUGUAGUUGAUCUAGGAGAGCACCAGACCAUGCAAGAACCAGAGAGUGAGAGACCCAACCCAAAUCCGUCACAGAAUGGAUCAGCUGCUAAGGACGAUGUAGUUGACAUAGGAGAGCACCAGACCAUGCAAGAACCAGAGAGUGAGAGACCCAACCCAAAUCCGUCACAGGUAAGAUUACAAUUACUUACAGGGCGGCCAGCGUUCAUCUUUGUGCGUUUAGUUUAUCUUUUACAGGAUUGAUUUUGCUAUGAUGACUUGAUGCACACAAUCUGAACAACACAUUUCAUUCCUUCGCAAUAGAAUAGAAUAGAAUAGAAUAGAAUAACAAAGACUUUAUUUUCAUGUCAGGCACUUCAGUUUUGCUCAGCAGGCCAUAAUAAAGCUGAAUUGGGAUCUCUGGCUGACAUAAAACCAUGACCAAAGAGUGCAGCAAGGCACAAGAUUCUAGAAAAUAUUGAUCAUAGUGAUGAUUAGACGUAGCAUUUUACUAUAUGUUCUGAUGUUUGAACUCCAAAAAUAUUUGAGAUACUGUGUUGGACCACCCAAAACUAGGUACACACAAGG
Molecule: long non-coding RNA, 868 nt
Organism: Fundulus heteroclitus (mummichog)
Lineage: Eukaryota; Metazoa; Chordata; Actinopteri; Cyprinodontiformes; Fundulidae
Exons: 3
Source: RefSeq, a predicted model, not a curated record